AGGGUUCCUGUCCAACGUUAAUCGGGGCAGGGUGAGUCGACCCCUAAGGCGAGGCCGAAAGGCGUAGUCGAUGGGAAACGGGUUAAUAUUCCCGUACUUGGUGUUACUGCGAAGGGGGGACGGAGAAGGCUAUGUUGGCCGGGCGACGGUUGUCCCGGUUUAAGCGUGUAGGUGUGUGUUCCAGGUAAAUCCGGUUCACUUUAACACUGAGGCGUGACGACGAGGCACUACGGUGCUGAAGCAACAAAUGCCCUGCUUCCAGGAAAAGCCUCUAAGCAUCAGGUAACAUCAAAUCGUACCCCAAACCGACACAGGUGGUCAGGUAGAGAAUACCAAGGCGCUUGAGAGAACUCGGGUGAAGGAACUAGGCAAAAUGGUGCCGUAACUUCGGGAGAAGGCACGCUGACACGUAGGUGAAGUGAUUUACUCAUGGAGCUGAAGUCAGUCGAAGAUACCAGCUGGCUGCAACUGUUUAUUAAAAACACAGCACUGUGCAAACACGAAAGUGGACGUAUACGGUGUGACGCCUGCCCGGUGCCGGAAGGUUAAUUGAUGGGGUCAGCGCAAGCGAAGCUCCUGAUCGAAGCCCCGGUAAACGGCGGCCGUAACUAUAACGGUCCUAAGGUAGCGAAAUUCCUUGUCGGGUAAGUUCCGACCUGCACGAAUGGCGUAAUGAUGGCCAGGCUGUCUCCACCCGAGACUCAGUGAAAUUGAACUCGCUGUGAAGAUGCAGUGUACCCGCGGCAAGACGGAAAGACCCCGUGAACCUUUACUAUAGCUUGACACUGAACAUUGAGCCUUGAUGUGUAGGAUAGGUGGGAGGCUUUGAAGUGUGGACGCCAGUCUGCAUGGAGCCGACCUUGAAAUACCACCCUUUAAUGUUUGAUGUUCUAACGUGGACCCGUUACCCGGGUUGCGGACAGUGUCUGGUGGGUAGUUUGACUGGGGCGGUCUCCUCCUAAAGAGUAACGGAGGAGCACGAAGGUUGGCUAAUCCUGGUCGGACAUCAGGAGGUUAGUGCAAUGGCAUAAGCCAGCUUGACUGCGAGCGUGACGGCGCGAGCAGGUGCGAAAGCAGGUCAUAGUGAUCCGGUGGUUCUGAAUGGAAGGGCCAUCGCUCAACGGAUAAAAGGUACUCCGGGGAUAACAGGCUGAUACCGCCCAAGAGUUCAUAUCGACGGCGGUGUUUGGCACCUCGAUGUCGGCUCAUCACAUCCUGGGGCUGAAGUAGGUCCCAAGGGUAUGGCUGUUCGCCAUUUAAAGUGGUACGCGAGCUGGGUUUAGAACGUCGUGAGACAGUUCGGUCCCUAUCUGCCGUGGGCGCUGGAGAACUGAGGGGGGCUGCUCCUAGUACGAGAGGACCGGAGUGGACGCAUCACUGGUGUUCGGGUUGUCAUGCCAAUGGCACUGCCCGGUAGCUAAAUGCGGAAGAGAUAAGUGCUGAAAGCAUCUAAGCACGAAACUUGCCCCGA
RNAcentral lists this ribosomal RNA (1471 nucleotides) under Salmonella enterica. RNAcentral describes it as "partial 23S ribosomal RNA". It matches the Rfam family "Bacterial large subunit ribosomal RNA", at positions 1348 to 2802 of the family's 2925-position model. The record is from RNAcentral. RNAcentral also lists the same sequence under 1 other name. Lineage: Bacteria; Pseudomonadati; Pseudomonadota; Gammaproteobacteria; Enterobacterales; Enterobacteriaceae.